RNAcentral lists this non-coding RNA (79 nucleotides) under Thermanaeromonas toyohensis ToBE. RNAcentral's name for it is "skipping-rope RNA". It matches the Rfam family "skipping-rope RNA". From Rfam's summary of the family: Firmicutes, Fusobacteria, AlphaProteobacteria, Spirochaetes. Downstream gene Lineage: Bacteria; Bacillati; Bacillota; Clostridia; Neomoorellales; Neomoorellaceae. The record is from Rfam by way of RNAcentral.
GGGAUCAGAGGACGGAAGAGGCAGCCGUCGCCCACCAAAAGGUAUUAGGAGAUGUGGGAGUGUAGCCCCACCUGAUCCC